This 460-nucleotide ribosomal RNA is filed under the name uncultured bacterium. RNAcentral's name for it is "partial 16S ribosomal RNA". It matches the Rfam family "Bacterial small subunit ribosomal RNA", at positions 338 to 795 of the family's 1533-position model. The record is from RNAcentral.
CCUACGGGUGGCAGCAGUGAGGAAUAUUGGUCAAUGGGCGCAAGCCUGAACCAGCCAUGCCGCGUGCAGGAAGACGGCUCUAUGAGUUGUAAACUUCUUUUGUAAGAGAGUAAACUCAGAUACGCGUGUCUGUCUGUAAGUAUCGUACGAAUAAGGAUCGGCUAACUCCGUGCCAGCAGCCGCGGUAAUACGGAGGAUUCAAGCGUUAUCCGGAUUUAUUGGGUUUAAAGGGUGCGUAGGCGGGCGGAUAAGUUAGAGGUGAAAGCCCGCGGCUCAACUGCGGAAUUGCCUCUGAUACUGGUCGGCUAGAGAGUAGUUGCGGUAGGCGGAAUGUAUGGUGUAGCGGUGAAAUGCUUAGAGAUCAUACAGAACACCGAUUGCGAAGGCAGCUUACUAAGCUACUUCUGACGUUGAGGCACGAAAGCGUGGGUAGCAAACAGGAUUAGAUACCCCAGUAGUC